RNAcentral lists this ribosomal RNA (301 nucleotides) under uncultured bacterium. Its description in RNAcentral is "partial 16S ribosomal RNA". It matches the Rfam family "Bacterial small subunit ribosomal RNA", at positions 509 to 807 of the family's 1533-position model. The record is from RNAcentral.
CAGCCGCCACGGUAAUACGUAGGGUGCAAGCGUUAAUCGGAAUUACUGUGCGUAAAGCGUGCGCAGGCGGUUAUAUAAGACAGAUGUGAAAUCCCCGGGCUCAACCUGGGAACUGCAUUUGUGACUGUAUAGCUAGAGUACGGCAGAGGGGGAUGGAAUUCCGCGUGUAGCAGUGAAAUGCGUAGAUAUGCGGAGGAACACCGAUGGCGAAGGCAAUCCCCUGGGCCUGUACUGACGCUCAUGCACGAAAGCGUGGGGAGCAAACAGGAUUAGAUACCCGCGUAGUCCCUGUCUCUUAUAC